CACAUUCGGGGCGCUUCGGCGCUCCUUAUACACCCACCCUCUGCCUACGUGUACCUCUAUAGUCUUCCUCGGCGGGCUCGCCCGCCGCCAGGAACCCACGAAACCCCUUGCAUUAUACGCGAAAAACUUCUGAUAACAAACCUAAAUUAUCA
RNAcentral lists this unclassified non-coding RNA (152 nucleotides) under soil metagenome. Its description in RNAcentral is "partial internal transcribed spacer 1". The record is from RNAcentral.